RNAcentral lists this long non-coding RNA (439 nucleotides) under Vombatus ursinus (common wombat). RNAcentral describes it as "lncRNA (ENSVURG00010009454.1)". Lineage: Eukaryota; Metazoa; Chordata; Mammalia; Diprotodontia; Vombatidae. The record is from RNAcentral.
CCCAGCCCGGGCCCGGACACGCCCCGCUCCCAGCUGGAGAGAGGAAAUGGGAAGGAACACAGGAAGAGGUUCGAGCCUCUUCCCAUCCUGGACUGAGCGGAGGAGGACUUUGCCUGGGUUCUCGGUCGCCAGCUCGCCUCGGGUCCUGGCCCCUUGCCUCAGUUUCCCUUUCCUGCCCCCAAAGCGAGAACAGGGUGGAGGAGGUGGCAUUCCUUUAGGGAAGGAAGGAUGGACCAAGAUUUCUACAGUCCAUGUUCCUCGGAGCUGUCUAUGUGUAGAACACAUCUACUCACGUCCACACUCUGGUGUCUGCGUUGGUGAGAACGUUCUAUAUAUGUGUGUGGAUAGGGGCACAUGUUCCUGCAGUGAGCCACACACCUGUGUGAUUGGGGGCGGGGCGGGGGGGGGACGUGGAUGGGGACUAACGAUACCAUCUUGA